AUACGGAGGAUCCAAGCGUUAUCCGGAAUCAUUGGGUUUAAAGGGUCCGUAGGUGGACAGAUAAGUCAGAGGUGAAAUCCUGCAGCUCAACUGUAGAAUUGCCUUUGAAACUGUUUGUCUUGAGUCAUUGUGAAGUGGUUAGAAUGUGUAGUGUAGCGGUGAAAUGCAUAGAUAUUACACAGAAUACCGAUUGCGAAGGCAGAUCACUAAUAAUGUACUGACACUGAUGGACGAAAGCGUGGGUAGCGAACAGGAUUAGAAACCCUAGUAGUCC
RNAcentral lists this ribosomal RNA (274 nucleotides) under uncultured bacterium. RNAcentral's name for it is "partial 16S ribosomal RNA". It matches the Rfam family "Bacterial small subunit ribosomal RNA", at positions 523 to 796 of the family's 1533-position model. The record is from RNAcentral.